UUUGUAAAAAAAUUUUUUUUUUUUAUAAAUGUUAAUAUUAAUGAAAUCAUACAUUCUGAUCGAUUUGCCUGACGGUAAAAUAAUGGUUGAAAGUCGCUAUUAUAUUGAUAAUUAGCGUUAGAGGCUGGACAAGUAUAGGAAUUGUGUAAUGGCAUUAUUACUAUUCAAUUUAUUGAUGGUAAUUGUGUCCUCGGUAAUCGAUAUUUAUAUCAAUUCCGGGCCGUUCAUAUACUGUUAGUUUGGCAUAUCUCUGACAGACUUUAUUAUUUUCAAAUAAAACCAAUCAGCAACGCUAUAGCUUUGGGUACUUUCAGGACCCGUCUUGAAACACGGACCAAGGAGUCUAGCAUGUUCGCAAGCCAUUGGGAUAUUAAACCUAUAGGCAUAAUGAAAGUGAAAAACAUUUUAUCUUUGGAUAUAAUGGAGGGAAGAUAAAUAAAGAAAUGCAUUGAUUUCUUUCUUCUAUCUAAGUAAGAGUCUAACUAUUUCAUAUUUCGCAUUCCCGGGGCGUUUAAAUUUCAUUUACUUGUAGAUGAGAUUAUGCGCACCAAGAGUGUACACGCUGGGACCCGAAAGAUGGUGAACUAUGCCUGGUCAGGACGAAGUCAGGGGAAACCCUGAUGGAGGUCCGUAGCGAUUCUGACGUGCAAAUCGAUCGUCG
RNAcentral lists this ribosomal RNA (661 nucleotides) under Peroplatypus truncatigranosus. RNAcentral describes it as "eukaryotic LSU rRNA". It matches the Rfam family "Eukaryotic large subunit ribosomal RNA", at positions 432 to 907 of the family's 3401-position model. Lineage: Eukaryota; Metazoa; Arthropoda; Insecta; Coleoptera; Curculionidae. The record is from RNAcentral.